CCUGGAAACCUCACCGUAACGAGACUUGGUCUCCCAGAAUCCACUGCGUGAGAUACGCACUAACGGCAACAAUCGCAGACCGGAACGAGUUUAUAGAUCUGGAGCGAGGAAGUUAUUUAGAAAUAUUAAGUUUGGCGAAAAAAGGCUGCAACCUUCUCUGAGGUUUACCCAUAAACGAAAGGAGAACGUGAGUGCCUGGCACCCCAAACGAAUACGAUCGCUGUUCUCAGUGCAUGCUUUUAAGGCUUUCUAGGAGACAAAGAAUCAGGCUUUUCAAAGGGAAUAGAACAUUUGGUAUCGCCAAGUAGGGUUGCCGACGUUUCAACGAAAAACCCUUCGGUAAUUGUAGUUUCCUGUUCUUUUGUCGAAGGAGAGAAUCACUGCAGCAGAGCUUUGAUAACAGAAAAAAGACUUAUGAGAAAAUUAUUUCGUGUCAUAUCUGUGUUUUGUUUUGUUUUGGGAGAUAAAGACCAAUUACUGAGCAUUACCAUUGAAAAAGUCAAUUUGUGAAAAGCGCUUAGAACAGCGCCUGAUAAAAAUGUGCUGUGUAAGUGUUUGUUAAAUUAGAAAUAAAUACAAACCGAACAACGGGCAAUCCUCAGCUCAGGGUCCCUUCUCUCUUCCCGCCACCUCCCCGCUCUCUAGACCCGCUCCCUCCUUUGCAUUCUUUUUUUGUCCCACAAAGGAAACUGCUAAUGUCUUCAUGUUUAAAUAAAUCUUUUGUUGCGAUAGCGUUCUGAUUUAUAAAUACAAGAGUUACAAUCACAGUCUGGAAUAUUUGCAUUGAUUAUGUAACAACAGCCUUAUGACCAAGAGGGCUUGCCAAAGCAAUGCAUCCCCUUGCAAAGAAUCUUCCUCAAAUACAAAUUCCGACAUCGACCUUGGUCUGAUGUUCCCUUGUGAUUAGAUUCAAGUUAUGCAUCCUCUAUGGAAACAAGCACAUAAGUGAAGUUGUGUCCUCAGGAUAUUACAGCCAGAGGCACAGGAUGUCUAUCCAUUAUAAGGUGAUGUUAAGCUUUACCACUCAAUCAAGGUGUCCAGUUUCUCCACUGUGUAUUUUCCCCCUUGCAACUACUGAGGAAUCUGUGAGGAGAUUCUUUGAGACCGAGCAAAUAUCUUACUCCUAAUUAAACUCUACUUUGUGGUUCACCUUCUAUUGAUUCUUGCUGCAACCCAUCUUUACAAUGAUGGUUACAAAUUGUUGAUUUUUUUUUAACUCCUUCAAGCCCUCCAUAUUUAUUAGUCCUGAUGCUGCUAUAAAGAAGAGCCCUCCUUAUUUUUGUUAUAAUUAAUGAACCAAUAUUGAUACAUUAAUAUUAACUAUGGUCCAUAGUUAUUUAGAUUUCCUUAGUUUUUACCUAAUGUCCUUUCUGUUCCAGGAUACUGUGUUAUAUGUAGUUGUCAUUUCUCCUUAGGCUCCUGUUGGCUGUGACAGUUUCUCAGACUCUACUUGUUUUUAUGACCUUGACAAUUUUGAGGAAAACUGGUCAGGUAUCAUGCAGGAUGCCUUUCUAUUAGAAUUUAUCUGAUGUUUUCCUCAUGAUUAGACUGGGGUUAUGGGUUUUUGUGAGGAAGAUCACAGAGGUAAAGUGUCAUUUUCAUCAUGUCAUAGCAAGGGUGCACACUGCCAACAUAAUUAAUGAUUGUUUAUGUUGAACUUGAUCACCAAAACGUAGUGUUUGGCAGGUUUCUCCAACGUAAAUUUGCUCUUUUUUCCCCUUUCCAUACUGGACUCCUUGGAAGGAAGUCACCGUGCACAGCACACAUUUCUAGAGUUGGCUAUCUCUAAAACCAAAGGAGAUAAAAGAUGAACUGAUCCACAUGGAACUUACGAGAACACCUUCUGAAGGUUCUCAGUGAUGAGAUGGGAGGACAGUACUUGGUUGUGGGCUGAAGAAUGGAACAUCACAAACAUGGCAACAGCAGCAUGGGUGUGUGUAGAUAAGUGAGGGGAAUUGUGAAUAAAUGCUAUAUAUCCCAGAUAAAAUUAACACAAGCAAAAUGGGAUGGGCAGGGAAGAUUAUUUUCUGUUUUAGAUAUGUUUAGUUUGAGAGAGUGGAUUCUUCUAAAUGAGAUUCCUAAUAGGCAGUUGGAAAUGUGUGACUUAGGUCAGGAAAGAAAACAGAGCAGGAGAUAAUUUGGUUGUCCGCUACCUAGUGCCUAAUGAUCAGUAAAGCUAUAACUGAAUGAGAUACUCCAGGGGAAAACACAUAGAAUCAGAAAAACAAGAAGCUCAGAACUAGUUCUUGACGUCAAGAAGAAAAAUUUAAAAACAACUUAAUGUCCAUCAACAGAAGACUUAUUAAACAAUGGUGGUACAUUCACACAAUGGAAUACUAUGUAGCAGAAAAAAAGAAUGAGGAAGUUCUUUCUGUAUUUAUAUAGAAUGAUCUUUUUGUGUG
Molecule: long non-coding RNA, 2402 nt
Organism: Diceros bicornis minor
Lineage: Eukaryota; Metazoa; Chordata; Mammalia; Perissodactyla; Rhinocerotidae
Exons: 3
Source: RefSeq, a predicted model, not a curated record